AACGAACGUCUCGGCGGGCGAUGCCUAACACAUGCAAGUCGAACGAGACCUUCGGGGUCUAGUGGACGGCACGGGUGCGUAACGCGUGGGAAUCUGCCCUUGGGUUCGGAAUAACUCGCCGAAAGGCGUGCUAAUACCGGAUGAUGUCGUAAGACCAAAGAUUUAUCGCCCAGGGAUGAGCCCGCGUAAGAUUAGGUAGUUGGUGAGGUAAAGGCUCACCAAGCCGACGAUCUUUAGCUGGUCUGAGAGGAUGAUCAGCCACAUUGGAACUGAGACACGGUCCAG
Molecule: ribosomal RNA, 285 nt
Filed under: uncultured bacterium
Lineage: Bacteria
Description: partial 16S ribosomal RNA
Rfam family: Bacterial small subunit ribosomal RNA
Source: RNAcentral